Molecule: non-coding RNA, 30 nt
Filed under: Rattus norvegicus (Norway rat)
Lineage: Eukaryota; Metazoa; Chordata; Mammalia; Rodentia; Muridae
Source: RNAcentral
UCCCUUCUGAGCUAUAGUGAACAGGGCAAC